RNAcentral lists this ribosomal RNA (388 nucleotides) under uncultured bacterium. Its description in RNAcentral is "bacterial SSU rRNA". It matches the Rfam family "Bacterial small subunit ribosomal RNA", at positions 361 to 766 of the family's 1533-position model. The record is from RNAcentral.
AUUUUGGGCAAUGGGCGAAAGCCUGACCCAGCAACGCCGCGUGAGGGAUGAAGUAUUUCGGUAUGUAAACCUCGAAAGAAUGGGAAGAAUAAAUGACGGUACCAUUUAUAAGCUCCGGCUAACUACGUGCCAGCAGCCGCGGUAAUACGUAGGGAGCAAGCGUUGUUCGGAUUUACUGGGCGUAAAGGGCGCGUAGGCGGCGCGGUAAGUCACUUGUGAAAUCUCUGAGCUUAACUCAGAACGGCCAAGUGAUACUGCUGUGCUAGAGUGCGGAAGAGNCAACCGGAAUUCUUGGUGUAGCAGUGAAAUGCGUAGAGAUCAAGAGGAACACCUGAGGCGAAGGCGGGUUGCUGGGCCGACACUGACGCUGAUGCGCGAAAGCCAGGGG